GACGAACGCUGGCGGCGUGCCUAACACAUGCAAGUCGAACGGGAUCCAUGGGAGCUUGCUCCCGGAAGAUCUAGUGGCGAACGGGUGAGUAACACGUGAGAAACCUGCCCUGGAGUGGGGAAUAACUCGGGGAAACUCGAGCUAAUACCGCAUACCCUCGGAUGGUCGCAUGGCCGACCGAGGAAAGAUUUAUCGCCUUGGGAGCGGCCCGCGUCGGAUUAGCUAGUUGGUGGGGUAACGGCCUACCAAGGCUUCGAUCCGUAGCUGGUCUGAGAGGACGAUCAGCCACACUGGGACUGAGACACGGCCCAGACUCCUACGGGAGGCAGCAGUGGGGAAUCUUGCGCAAUGGGGGCAACCCUGACGCAGCCAUGCCGCGUGAACGAUGAAGGCCUUAGGGUUGUAAAGUUCUUUUACCCGUGACGAUGAUGAC
This 433-nucleotide ribosomal RNA is filed under the name uncultured bacterium. RNAcentral's name for it is "bacterial SSU rRNA". It matches the Rfam family "Bacterial small subunit ribosomal RNA", at positions 28 to 455 of the family's 1533-position model. The record is from RNAcentral.